RNAcentral lists this ribosomal RNA (495 nucleotides) under uncultured bacterium. Its description in RNAcentral is "partial 16S ribosomal RNA". It matches the Rfam family "Bacterial small subunit ribosomal RNA", at positions 30 to 507 of the family's 1533-position model. The record is from RNAcentral.
UGAACGCUGGCGGCGUGCCUACUACAUGCAAGUCGAGCGAACGGACGAGAAGCUUGCUUCUCUGAUGUUAGCGGCGGACGGGUGAGUAACACGUGGAUAACCUACCUAUAAGACUGGGAUAACUUCGGGAAACCGUAGCUAAUACCGGAUAAUAUUUUGAACCGCAUGGUUCAAAAGUGAAAGACGGUCUUGCUGUCACUUAUAGAUGGAUCCGCGCUGCAUUAGCUAGUUGGUAAGGUAACGGCUUACCAAGGCAACGAUGCAUAGCCGACCUGAGAGGGUGAUCGGCCACACUGGAACUGAGACACGGUCCAGACUCCUACGGGAGGCAGCAGUAGGGAAUCUUCCGCAAUGGGCGAAAGCCUGACGGAGCAACGCCGCGUGAGUGAUGAAGGUCUUCGGAUCGUAAAACUCUGUUAUUAGGGAAGAACAUAUGUGUAAGUAACUGUGCACAUCUUGACGGUACCUAAUCAGAAAGCCACGGCUAACUACGUG